GAUGAACGCUGGCGGCGUGCUUAACACAUGCAAGUCGAACGGUGAAGGCGGAGCUUGCUCUGCUGGAUCAGUGGCGAACGGGUGAGUAACACGUGAGCAAUCUGCCCCUGACUCUGGGAUAAGCGCUGGAAACGGCGUCUAAUACUGGAUACGAGCUGCGAAGGCAUCUUCAGCAGCUGGAAAGAACUUCGGUCAGGGAUGAGCUCGCGGCCUAUCAGCUUGUUGGUGAGGUAACGGCUCACCAAGGCGUCGACGGGUAGCCGGCCUGAGAGGGUGACCGGCCACACUGGGACUGAGACACGGCCCAGACACCUACGGGAGGCAGCAGUGGGGAAUAUUGCACAAUGGGCGAAAGCCUGAUGCAGCAACGCCGCGUGAGGGACGACGGCCUUCGGGUUGUAAACCUCUUUUAGCAGGGAAGAAGCGAAAGUGACGGUACCUGCAGAAAAAGCGCCGGCUAACUACGUG
Molecule: ribosomal RNA, 468 nt
Filed under: uncultured bacterium
Lineage: Bacteria
Description: partial 16S ribosomal RNA
Rfam family: Bacterial small subunit ribosomal RNA
Source: RNAcentral